Molecule: long non-coding RNA, 947 nt
Organism: Myotis davidii
Lineage: Eukaryota; Metazoa; Chordata; Mammalia; Chiroptera; Vespertilionidae
Exons: 2
Source: RefSeq, a predicted model, not a curated record
CUUUGCGCUCCUGGGAGGAAGGUACUUGGCAGGAUUCAGACCCAGCCAACGCCCCCUGCACAGUUUGCACCGCCCCAUGUCUCUGAUCCUGCCUUCUCUUCCCAGGUAGAAAUCGCUUCUUACCCAGGCCUGAGAAGACACUGGUAGAACAGGCUCCGACUCGGAUAACUGGUCUCCAAUUCUUCCAUGUGCUCCUCAGCCCCCAGACUUCCUUUAUCAGAGUUCAAUGCUUAUUACUAUGAAAGCAACACAAAGAAAUAAAGUGAUAUCUACCUGAAACAAUUGUCCAUGAGAAUCUAUGACUGUCGGGUCGCUCUGUGCUCCGCCUUCUGGGAAGAUCCUUGAGGGGUCUACUGACACUCAGAUUCCCUGUUGGUCAGUUUCCAAAACCUGACCUUGGGCCGUGGGGCAUUAUGAGUCAUAGUUUCUGAGUUUGGGUCCCAUGAAAGGUGUAUAUGUGCGUCUGAGUGGAGGAGCAACGCUUUUUGCUACACUUUCUCUGAUACUGCGGCUGCUGGCCUUUCCACACCUUGAUGAUUGUUCCAGGUUUCUAAGAAGCUCUCCCCUCUUCCCCCUCCUCCACUCAUCCCAAAGGGCCCCUAAACUGUUCCAGAAGGGACUCCUGACCAGCCUGUGACAGCCCCCCUCCAAGUUCUACAUGUCCCUCUCUGGGCCUCAUACUCUUGCCUGGGGUAGAAAGAACCACUGACACUCUCGGUGGUGAGGUCACUGUCUUGGCCUGAAUUCCCUGCUUAUGAAAUAGCAGCUGGGAUGGCCGGGCCAAUUCUGGUGGAGCCACACCCACAGCGAGAGGUAUAAGGGAUGCGGCUGACACUGGCCACCGCAGCCUCCUGCCCUCACUAUGAAGCUUAACAACCUCCUGGUCUUCACGGUGCUCCUGGCCCUCAGGAUCCUGUCGUCCUGGGCUGUCGUAGAUGCGGGCAAAG